CCACUCUAGCUGCAGCCGGUGCUCCCGGUGCGUUUCCGCCGACGCUAAGCAGGUGGAAGGCGUAUCCCGGUCUUGUGUCACCGAAGGAGUGCCCCUGAACCAUCCCGCGCCUUCCCGCGCCGUCCCCCACUCUGACCCCGCCGUCUCCAGCCCUGACGCCCCAGGUCAGUCGCUGCCGGGCCGCGCCGCACUGGUACCCCCGGCGGCCUCCAAGGCUGGUGCUGCGUCCACCUGCCCCCGACGAGAGGAGAAACUGAGGUUCCAAGGAAGCAGGAAGAUCAGGCCGGAGGUCAGCUCCGAGCCCAGGCCCGAUUCCUGGUUGCGGGACCGCCUCCUCUGCCGGGUGUGGACCCCUCGGGUUCGUGUCCGAGAAAGGGCCCUCAGGCUUUGUGACUUUGUGGCUCUUGGAGACAGAUGACAAUUCUCUCUCGGAAGACUUUGCUUGUGUGCUCCGCACCAGCCGGCGCCCGCCCCCUCCUCUCCUGCAGGACCCUGCUCUGCACUGCUGGAUGCUCCCCCACUGUGUCCAGGGGCUGAGGCAGUCUCCUGGAUCUUGAUGUCAGUGUCCGAGUCUUGCCUCGCCUUAGCCUCAGUGCCUGGCAGGUGCCCAGUGUUCAGAAGCUGUGGAUCAAAUGCAUAAAAGGAGCCAAGAGAAGGGGACAUGAAUCCUUGUAAGGUGGCAUGGCUCAUCACGUGCGGAUGAUCAGGGAAAGACUGCUUGUGAGCCAGCCAGCCAGAAGAGGAGGCAGCUCAGUGCAGAGGGGCCCUUGAGUGUUGUCUCCAUCCUGUCAGGAAGUGGCUGGACCAGGGUGCUCUCAAGAUGAGUUCACUGUGUACGGAGGCAUCACAGGAGUUGUCAUGUCAGGAACAUUCUCGACCCUGGUGUCCUUGAGCUUGAAGGAAGAUGAGAUGACAUCGGAGACCAAACACUUGUGAUUUCCUGCUCUGUGGCUUUAUCACUCUAGGGGUGCUGUCUUGGAUCUGGAGAUUGUUGGAAGAAGCCCCAAGGGGAUGGAGGCACUGGCCCUAUCAAGAUGGUGACCUGGGUCCCAGCUCCCCUGCAGGGGCCUCCUCAUGAGUGAAGAGUGCUGCUGCCACAUGACGCAUCGCCAGACCUUCUUAUCCCUGUUACCUUAGCGCGGAAAGGAAGGACUUUUCCAUCCGAGUAAGCAGAAGGGAAGUGCUGGGGGACUAUGUUCAGAGUUGGGGAACUUCAGCUGGCUCUGCCCCUUCCCAGCAGGUGUCACAGAGCGUGUGGACCAGGACUGCCAGUUUCCUUCCAUCCGGGUAGGUCACCCAGUGUCCCCCAUGUCUCCCUGCCUACUCUCGGUAUAACUUUUUAGAACUAAGAGUUUUGUUUAAGUUUUCUGUGCUGUGUAUCAUUUUCCUCUCACCUACCUCAAUAAAUCUGGAAACUGUCCUGCU
Molecule: long non-coding RNA, 1425 nt
Organism: Pteropus alecto (black flying fox)
Lineage: Eukaryota; Metazoa; Chordata; Mammalia; Chiroptera; Pteropodidae
Exons: 7
Source: RefSeq, a predicted model, not a curated record